This 396-nucleotide long non-coding RNA is filed under the name Rattus norvegicus (Norway rat). RNAcentral's name for it is "long non-coding RNA NONRATT027419". The record is from RNAcentral. Lineage: Eukaryota; Metazoa; Chordata; Mammalia; Rodentia; Muridae.
AUCGAACCAUACGAGGAUUUGAAGUCCUUGUGGAGAAAGAGUGGCUAAGCUUUGGACAUCGAUUCCAACUAAGAGUUGGCCAUGGCGAUAAGAACCAUGCUGAUGCAGACCGAUCACCUGUUUUCCUUCAGUUCAUUGACUGUGUCUGGCAGAUGACAAGACAGGUAAAACACGUCAUCUGCUAACACCCUGCCCACACAUCUCUAAGCUCAGAGUGGUCCUGACUGGCUUAUGAUUCUUAGAUAGAAUCCCAGAGAUAAUAGCUGUUGUAAUUGUUGGGUAUUAAAACUUGUUUUUUAGGGCAGUAUUAAUAAACAAUUAAUAAACACUUGGAUUCUAGUGGCAUCUUGCACAGGACACUGAUAAAAAUUAAAAGUAUUCCUCCUUUGAAAUGAA